RNAcentral lists this ribosomal RNA (746 nucleotides) under Macrobrachium urayang. RNAcentral describes it as "SSU rRNA". It matches the Rfam family "Eukaryotic small subunit ribosomal RNA", at positions 547 to 1260 of the family's 1831-position model. The record is from RNAcentral. Lineage: Eukaryota; Metazoa; Arthropoda; Malacostraca; Decapoda; Palaemonidae.
AUUGGAGGGCAAGUCUGGUGCCAGCAGCCGCGGUAAUUCCAGCUCCAAUAGCGUAUAUUAAAGUUGUUGCGGUUAAAAAGCUCGUAGUUCGAGUUCAGUUGCGGACUGGGGUGGGAGGUCACCGCCCGGUGCUUCCCCGUCAGGCUCCGAACAGCUUCCGUGAGUGGAAGCCAAGCCGGUUCUGCCGGGGUGCUCUUUACCGAGUGUCCCGCGCGGCCGGCCAGUUCACCUUGAAUAAAUGAGAGUGCUCAAAGCAGGCUACUCUGGAAUACAAUGCCCGAAUGUUAACUGCAUGGAAUGAUGGAAGAUGAUCUCGGUUCCAUUUUGUUGGUGGUGGGAGCCAGAGGUAAUGAUAAAGAGGGACUGUCGGGGGCAUCCGUACUACGACGCGAGAGGUGAAAUUCAGUGACCGUCGUAGGACGAACAACAGCGAAAGCAUUUGCCAAGAAUGUCUUCGUUGAUCAAGAACGAAAGUUAGAGGAUCGAAGGCGAUCAGAUACCGCCCUAGUUCUAACCCUAAACGAUGCUGACUAGCAAUUCGCCGUCGUUAUUCCCAUGACGUGGCGAGACGCCCCCGGGAAACCUCAAGUCUUUGAGUUCCGGGGGUAGUAUGGUUGCAAAACUGAAACUUAAAGGAAUUGACGGAAGGGCACCACCAGGAGUGGAGCCUGCGGCUUAAUUUGACUCAACACGGGGAAGCUCACCAGGCCCGGACACCAGAAGGAUUGACAGAUUAAGAGCUCUUU